Molecule: long non-coding RNA, 1994 nt
Organism: Lytechinus pictus (painted urchin)
Lineage: Eukaryota; Metazoa; Echinodermata; Echinoidea; Temnopleuroida; Toxopneustidae
Exons: 3
Source: RefSeq, a predicted model, not a curated record
AUAGACAAAUGCACACACACACGUACGCCGCGCGUGCAGAUACAAUCAGCUUAAUGCUUCGAAGGCCAAGGGCUAGCUAAGCUUCAAGUUCAUGAAAUUCAGGCAAUUAACUGCAUUCAACUAAUUUUUUAACUGAAACUAUAGGAGAACAGACAAAUUAUGGAACUGUCAGGAGAUAGUUAACGGUACAAAUUUUUAUUGAUAUAUGGCCAAAAUCAAAGAAGGGUGUUGGUAACCAACAAGUCAGAGGAGACCUCAAAACAGGAGCUGCUUAGGGUGGUGUGCACAACAUUUGGAGUGAAAGAAGAAGAUAUUUUUCCUGUAGACAUGGCAAGACAAAUUCUACGAUUUUGCAGACAUGGAAGAGGACGAACUUGUGACAGGGCCAUUGAGAGUAAAAAUUACAAACUACCUGUGGUCCUCGGUGCACAGCAACUGGUGAAUGGUGGAGAGCACAUAGAGUGGAUGAGCACUGAAAAAAAGGCAGCCAGACUUCAAGAGAGUUGAGUUCUGCAUGCAGAAGACACUGGCAGACAGAAGGGCAUGGAUCAUAAAUUCUGUCCCUCGGCCAAGGAUCACUGAUGACCGACUGAAGUAUCCUUGGCUCUUUGAUGAGGAUCAGGUAAUCUAUGCAGAGUUUUCUCACCAGAUUUUGAAAUAUACUGAAUAUCCCGAGAUUGAUUGAAUGCUGACGGACGUUGAUAGAGUUGCUUAUACAAUGUUUCCCUAUUACAGUGAUUUACAGAAUGUAUUGGAAACUUCUAACUCCACAUGGAUUAUCCAAACUUGCUCAUAAACUUAAUUUAUUCAAGACUGCGUAAGGUGUGAACUUCAUAUGUGGUCCUUGUAUGUAAAAUUCAGGUUAUUUUCUUGUCAAAGCAAUAUCACCUAAACAGCUUGAGGUAUGGAUGUAAAAACUUGGUGUUUAACAUGUACCAUCAUUAGGAAGACGAUUUGAAUGGAUUUUGGAAUAUGUAGGUCAAAGGUCAAUUUGUGAAAUUUAUUUGUUUAAACACAUUGUCACCUUAACAAUUUGAAAUAUAAAUGUGAAACUUGGUGCUAACAUGUACCACUAUAGGAGAUGAUCUGGAUAUAUUUUGGAAUAUGUAGCUCGAAAGUAAAUUUGUGAAAUUCAGGUAAUAUCUUUGUUAAUGCAAUGUCACCUUAACAGUAUGAAAUAUGGAUGUAAAACCUGCUAGCAUGUAUCACUGGGAAGAGGAUGCAUUGAGUAGUGUAUGUUUCAUUGACUGUUUUUGAAAAUUUGACUCAAUGUCUCUAAUCUUCAAAUUAAAGGUCUAGUCCACCCCAGGAAAAUGCUGAUUUGAAUAAAUAGAGAAAAAUCAAACUAGCAUGAAAUUUUAAAGUUUCGCUUAUUUUCAACAAAACAGUGAUAUGCACAACUAGGUGAGCCAAUGAUGUCACUCACUAUUUCUUUUGUUUUUUAUUGUUUGAAUUAUACAAUAUUUAAAUUUUUACGAAUUUGAUGAUUAGGACCUCCUUGCCUGAAGCACAAAAUGUUAAAAUAAUUGAAUUCCACGUGUUCAGGGACGAAUGAAACUUCAUUUCACAUGACAAUGACGAGAAAAUCAAAAUAUUUCAUACUUCAUAUAAUAAAAUACAAAAUAAAUAGUGGGUGAGUGAUGUCAUCAGUUCCCUCAUUUGCAUACCGACUGAGGUGUGCAUAUAAGCGUUUUGUGAAAUGAAGCAAAACUUUAAAAUGUCAUAACUUUCUUUUUUUACAUCCGAUUUUGAUGAAAUUUUCAGUGUUAUGCUUGUUGAAUUUUUCUCUUUUUAUUCAAAUCAAGGUUUUUUUUUUUUUUUUUUUUUUGGGGGGGGGGGUGGACUUGUCCUUUAAUCUUGCCAUAUCUGUGCUACCUCUGUGUGUGAAAAGUACAUUAAUUUAUUUAGUUUAUUCAGGGAUUUUUUUUUUGUAUAUACAUAUAGUCUUUCUACCUUGUCUUCUCAGUCAAACCAAAUCUUAUAAGAUCAACAGC